AUUGUUGAAAGGGAAACGAUUGAAGUCAGUCGUACAGACGAGAAAUCAACCUUUGGAGCGUGGGUAGCGAUACUCGAGUUCUGUGGGUGUACUUUCUCGCUUUGUAGGUUAGCGUCGGUUUCGAACGUUAUAAAAUGAUUGGAGGAAUGUAGCUUUGACUUCGGUCGAAGUGUUAUAGACUCUGGUAAAUGUGACGGACGGGACCGAGGAUUGCAACGGAUACCCUCACGGGCUAUCUGCCUGACCUCUGAUGCGCCACUCUGGUGUUGAAAGCUUGCUUAUGAUAUCGGAGCGUACGUUCAAAAGGUUAGAGCGGGUUAAAUUCGUUAAGGACGCUGACGUAAUGGCUUUAAACGACC
Molecule: ribosomal RNA, 359 nt
Filed under: Sclerocarpum amazonicum
Lineage: Eukaryota; Fungi; Glomeromycota; Glomeromycetes; Glomerales; Glomeraceae
Description: partial large subunit ribosomal RNA
Source: RNAcentral